Molecule: long non-coding RNA, 368 nt
Organism: Daktulosphaira vitifoliae (grape phylloxera)
Lineage: Eukaryota; Metazoa; Arthropoda; Insecta; Hemiptera; Phylloxeridae
Exons: 2
Source: RefSeq, a predicted model, not a curated record
GAGGAAAUUUCAGUGACUACCAGCUUGAAUCUUACCUAUAGAAUUAGAGAAAUAGCUUGUCCAUUACCAGUGUAACAAGAGAGCAACCAUCUCCAAGGACUUUACACAUUUCUAUGAGACCUUAUAGAAAAUUGAUUUAAAUAAAAGUAUAACGGUGAUUAAUACCUUCAAGUCCAGAAUGAUUUGCUGAAACAAACCACCAAGAGCAUUGCAAUCUUUUCCGACCCCGUUACCUUCCAUGACACAAAAGCACUAUACUCACAAGUAAAUUUAUUAAUAUAUCUUGUCACUAUAACAAAAAUAAUUCAUAGUCUUGCAACGUUUUUAUACAUUCACAUUAAAAAUAUGUUCAUAAAAAAAAAAAAAAA